RNAcentral lists this ribosomal RNA (512 nucleotides) under uncultured bacterium. Its description in RNAcentral is "bacterial SSU rRNA". It matches the Rfam family "Bacterial small subunit ribosomal RNA", at positions 30 to 523 of the family's 1533-position model. The record is from RNAcentral.
AUUGAACGCUGGCGGCAUGCCUAACACAUGCAAGUCGAACGGCAGCACAGUUUGUAGCAAUACAAAUGGGUGGCGAGUGGCGGACGGGUGAGUAAUACGUAGGGAUCUGCCUUUUAGAGGGGGAUAACCCGGGGAAACUCGGGCUAAUACCACAUGAUCUCGAGAGAGCAAAGGGAGGGGAUCCGUAAGGACCUUUCGCUGAAAGAUGAACCUACGUCGGAUUAGCUAGUUGGUAGGGUAAAGGCCUACCAAGGCAACGAUCCGUAGCUGGUCUAAGAGGACGGACAGCCACACUGGGACUGAGACACGGCCCAGACUCCUACGGGAGGCAGCAGUGGGGAAUAUUGGACAAUGGGGGCGAACCCUGAUCCAGCGAUGCCGCGUGUGUGAAGAAGGCCUGCGGGUUGUAAAGCACUUUAGGUGGGGAGGAAAGGUGAAUUUCUAAUAAGAGUUCACUCUGACGUUACCCACAGAAUAAGCACCGGCUAACUCUGUGCCAGCAGCCGCGGUAA